This 780-nucleotide ribosomal RNA is filed under the name uncultured bacterium. RNAcentral's name for it is "bacterial SSU rRNA". It matches the Rfam family "Bacterial small subunit ribosomal RNA", at positions 60 to 826 of the family's 1533-position model. The record is from RNAcentral.
AGUCGAGGGGCAGCGGGGGUGAUGGCUUGCCAUCGCCUGCCGGCGACCGGCGCACGGGUGAGUAACACGUAUGCAACCUGCCCGCCACAGGGGGAUAAGCGGAAGAAAUUCCGUCUAAUACCGCGUGACGCGGCGCCGGGGCAUCCCGGUGCCGCCAAAGGGAUUACCGGUGGCGGAUGGGCAUGCGGCGCAUUAGCUAGUCGGCGGGGUAACGGCCCACCGAGGCGACGAUGCGUAGGGGUUCUGAGAGGAAGGUCCCCCACACUGGUACUGAGACACGGACCAGACUCCUACGGGAGGCAGCAGUGAGGAAUAUUGGUCAAUGGGAGAGAUCCUGAACCAGCCAAGCCGCGUGAGGGAAGACGGCCCUAUGGGUUGUAAACCUCUUUUGUCGGAGAACAAAACCCGGGACGUGUCCCGGACUGCGUGUAUCCGAAGAAAAAGCAUCGGCUAACUCCGUGCCAGCAGCCGCGGUAAUACGGAGGAUGCGAGCGUUAUCCGGAUUUAUUGGGUUUAAAGGGAGCGUAGACGGCGACGCAAGUCUGGAGUGAAAGCCCGGGGCCCAACCCCGGGACUGCUCUGGAAACUGCGCCGCUGGAGUACGGGAGGGGCAGGCGGAAUUCCUGGUGUAGCGGUGAAAUGCGUAGAUAUCAGGAGGAACACCGGCGGCGAAGGCGGCCUGCUGGACCGUGACUGACGUUGAGGCUCGAGAGCGUGGGGAGCAAACAGGAUUAGAUACCCUGGUAGUCCACGCCGUAAACGAUGACUGCUAGGUGUCGG